CCUACGGGAGGCAGCAGUGGGGAAUCUUGCACAAUGGAGGAAACUCUGAUGCAGCGAUGCCGCGUGAGUGAAGAAGGCCUUUGGGUUGUAAAGCUCUUUUGUAGGGGAAGAUAAUGACUGUACCCUAAGAAUAAGGUCCGGCUAACUUCGUGCCAGCAGCCGCGGUAAUACGAAGGGACCUAGCGUAGUUCGGAAUUACUGGGCGUAAAGCGCGCGUAGGCCGUUGAGUUAGUUAAUUGUGAAAUCCCAAAGCUUAACUUUGGAACUGCAAUUAAAACUGCUCGACUAGAGUUUGAUAGAGGAAAGCGGAAUACAUAGUGUAGAGGUGAAAUUCGUAGAUAUUAUGUAGAACACCAGUUGCGAAGGCGGCUUUCUGGAUCAACACUGACGCUGAGGCGCGAAAGUAUGGGUAGCAAAGAGGAUUAGAUACCCUCGUAGUCCAUACCAUAAACGAUGAUUGCUAGAUGUUGGAAAUUUAUUUUACAGUAUCGCAGCUAACGCAUUAAGCAAUCCGCCUGGGGAGUACGACCGCAAGGUUAAAACUCAAAGGAAUUGAACGGCUGAGAGUGCGAGNGACACGAGGAGAGG
Molecule: ribosomal RNA, 588 nt
Filed under: uncultured bacterium
Lineage: Bacteria
Description: bacterial SSU rRNA
Rfam family: Bacterial small subunit ribosomal RNA
Source: RNAcentral